RNAcentral lists this ribosomal RNA (139 nucleotides) under uncultured bacterium. RNAcentral's name for it is "partial 16S ribosomal RNA". It matches the Rfam family "Bacterial small subunit ribosomal RNA", at positions 355 to 509 of the family's 1533-position model. The record is from RNAcentral.
UGGGGAAUAUUGCACAAUGGGGGAAACCCUGAUGCAGCGACGCCGCGUGAAGGAAGAAGUAUCUCGGUAUGUAAACUUCUAUCAGCAGGGAAGAUUAGUGACGGUACCUGACUAAGAAGCCCCGGCUAACUACGUCGCC